ACCCUUUACUCUUACUCUCACCACCCUGUGCACACAUUUGUAGGUCCUCGAUAAGAGGAUCUAUGUCUUUAUUCAUCACACACAUCGAUAUGUCUAGAAUGUAUCACGAUCGUCGACCGACUUUGCAGGUCGGGCGGCGGUCAAAUAAAUAAAUACAACUUUCAGCAACGGAUCUCUUGGCUCUCGCAUCGAUGAAGAACGCAGCGAAUUGCGAUAAGUAAUGUGAAUUGCAGAUUUUCAGUGAAUCAUCGAAUCUUUGAACGCACCUUGCGCUCCUUGGUAUUCCGAGGAGCAUGCCUGUUUGAGUGUCAUUGAAUUCUCAACCAUGUCUUGAUUGAUUUCGAGGCAUGGCUUGGACUUUGGGGUUGCUGGCGGCGAAAGCUGUCGGCUCUCCUGAAAUGCAUUAGCAAUGGACAGCAAGUCUGAUGUGCACGGCCUUGACGUGAUAAUGAUCGUCGUCGCUGGAGCAUUGGACGAGCAUGAAUGAGUCUGUUUGCUUCCAAUCCUUGACUUGGGACUUGCGAAGCUUUAGCUACUAGUUGGUCGUGAGGCCGACGAACGCAAGGCUGGCUCCGGUCCCUCGUCUUCCUAGACAACUUGACGAACAAAACAGGAAGGAUAACA
Molecule: ribosomal RNA, 624 nt
Filed under: uncultured Xerocomus
Lineage: Eukaryota; Fungi; Basidiomycota; Agaricomycetes; Boletales; Boletaceae
Description: eukaryotic LSU rRNA
Rfam family: 5.8S ribosomal RNA (bases 157-311)
Source: RNAcentral